UACGGGGGGAGCAAGCGUUGUUCGGAUUUACUGGGCGUAAAGGGCGCGUAGGCGGUCGUGACAAGUCACUUGUGAAAUCUCCGGGCUUAACUCGGAACGGUCAAGUGAUACUGUCGGACUAGAGUACAGAAGGGGCAACUGGAAUUCUCGGUGUAGCGGUGAAAUGCGUAGAUAUCGAGAGGAACACCUGCGGCGAAGGCGGGUUGCUGGGCUGAUACUGACGCUGAGGCGCGAA
RNAcentral lists this ribosomal RNA (235 nucleotides) under uncultured bacterium. RNAcentral describes it as "partial 16S ribosomal RNA". It matches the Rfam family "Bacterial small subunit ribosomal RNA", at positions 524 to 757 of the family's 1533-position model. The record is from RNAcentral.